GUUUUAAAGCCAGUCUUCUCAGGGCUUACCUUUGGGGUAUGAUCAGAAGAGUAUUUUCUGUGAACACACAGUUUCUCAGAAGCUGUGCUUGAGGUCAUUUCUGAGACUUGAGCAGACAGUUGAGUGUACCAAGUCAGAGCUGCUCAGACAGCUGGACCCUAAGGGCACCAUGCUGCUGGAAUUCCUCCAGGAACCAUUCUCUGCUGGGGGACUCUUAUCACAUUCCUGCCCUCAAUGAGCUUCCCCUGUAAGAAGGCAAGUCUGAGGCAGCUGGGAUAUGCAGCAUUUUGAGGGAAUAAUGGGGUGCUGGGUUGGGUUUAUGCCGCUCAGAGGAGAUAGUGUUUCCGAGGAGACUUGGCAUAGCAGGGGUUCCUGUGAGAAUCACCUGGAAGAGGAGAAAGAAGCCAUGUGGUGACCCCAGAGACAGAGAUCUUGGCCAGCCCAUGCUUCAUGGCCAGCAGUGCUGGAGCCCUGUGAGUGGCAGGCGUGCUGACUUGUGUGAGAGUGUGGGGCAGAACGUGGAUACCUGUGGAAGGCUGGUGGACUUCUGAGUGGAGAGGAACUGAGGGCCAAUAGCAGUGGCACAAGGAGUACCCAUUUGGAACUGAUGACUUAGCGUUGGCAGAGGAGAGGAUGGAGUUUAGAGAUAGACAGUGGGUCUGGGGUCUGCCAAGUUUGCAGAUGAGGUGGAGAUAGGUUUGCAGAGGAGGUGUGUGGUGAUGGGAAAACGCUGGGGGUCAGGGAAGUCCAUGCUUUUCAGGGGAGCAAGAGGAGAGGAGGGUGAAUAUACAUCCUAAAUUGGGAGAUUCAACUUCUGAGAGAUCUAAGAAGGAUUGUGAAAGCACCAGAGGACCUUCUAGAAAGGGCCAGUGCAAUACAUGUGACCUUAUCAACCAAAGAUGGGGUGGAGGCCACCCUAGAAGGAGGAGGAGAAAGACAGAAAGGCUUUGUUGGGUGCCCUAUCCAGAUCCAUUUGUUGUCACUGAGGGUGGGGUAUGGGGUGGUGAGGAGACUCCAGAGAAGGGAGUGUGAUACCCUGGAACUCAGGAAUAAAAGUGCGGACCUAUCAUCUCAUUACUCAGGAGGCUGAUGCAGAAGGCAAGCCUGGACCAUCUGAAAAGACCCUGUCUUCAAAAAGAAGAGAGGAGGGAAGGAUGGCAGGGUGGGUGUCCUGUGUUGCUGAGGGAAAUGUCUGUCUGAUUUGCAACAUGAACACCAUUGAAGAGUUGGAAUAGAGGAAUAUUGUGGUGGUGAGAGCAGAAGCAAGAUUGGAAGCAAUUUUUUUUUUUUAACAAAAAUUCAAAACAGUUGUUAGCAAGCAGAAUUCCACAGGAUAUGAAAACAUGAUGAGAUCAAGUUGGGUCUCUGCCCCAGAAUGCAAGACGGGCAUCUUCACACCGGUGCUUCCCAUGCAGAAGUGGUGAUGUCUCAGCCUCUGAUGUCGUAAGUUUGUUCUCAAGAAAGGAGAGCUGUCAGAACUUGAUCCUGAGAGAGUGUGUGUCCUUGAAGGCAGCACAGUGGGGCGAGGCUACCUCCUUCCUUUGGGUGGGGUAUCUGCCAGGUAUAGAAGAGGUGUAUAUGAGGAGGAGGGGUGGAGGUGUGAAUGGUUCAGCCUACUCAUGGUUUAUUAGUCUGUCAAUUCUAAUUGGAACAGUUAAGCUCUCUGGUUGGUUGCAGGCCUAAAGAUUAGUUAUUGUUAUAGUUUAUAGAGCUUUUUCCUGCUCAUAGAUUCAUUUCAUUUUAUAAAGAAAGAAAAAAUAAAACAACCAAACCCUGGAGCUGGAGACACUUUAUCCAUAAAAACAAUAUGGUAGACUCUUAUGUGAGGUAUUGCUUGUCCAAUUCUGUAUUGCCUUAGGGCCUGCCUCAUGUAGGAGAUGCUUGGGUGACCCCCUCAUUCAUAGAAUCUGAGAGGCAAACGGCACUGUUGUGUGCCUCUGUUGAUGAGUCAGUUUGGCUUAAGUUUAGGACUAAGCCAUUUCCCGGAAGAGUGAGCUCCACACAGGAGCCUGGGUUAAUGGUGUGCUCUUUGCUGCCAACUUCCCAGCAGAAAUGACAGAUUACCUAAGCCAAUUUGUUUGUCACAUUUGUUUGAGAAUACACAGUGAUAGAGGUGUUUCUGUGUGAGCUUCUGCUCUAGACCAGGGAACUCCCAGGUUUGUAUAUGGCUGGAGCAGGAGUACACCAAACACAUUGCUUCUUGACUCUGCAUCAGACUUGACAGUAGUAAUUGACCUUCGUUGUUCGGAUUCUCCUGUAUGUACAAGCUGGGCCUACCACUGUUCCUUUCAACCAAUGGAGAUAUGUGGGUGGCUGCACUCUCCCUGAGGCUGGAGUGUGUCUGGAUGGUUGCACUCCCCUAAGGUUGAAGUAUGUCUGACGAUGCCAUUAAUACUUCAUUUCUAGUCAGUGUGGCUGCUACGGCCUGGCAAGCAGGUCCACAUGUCCAGGCUAGCUUCUCCUCUGCUCACUCCCUGUCACAUACUAACAUAGCUGGAAGUCUGAACCCAGUGUCCAAAGUGCUCUUCAUAACACUAUCUAGUUCCUCUUCACCUGAGGCAGGUAGAGAGGCAUCCUACACAGAGCUGUGUGUCUUGUGGCUCUGGAGCAAGUGUUAGGUUCAUGCUGGGUCCAGCCCUGCAAUUUUCUCUUCUGGCCCAUAGAGGAG
This is a long non-coding RNA of Peromyscus leucopus (white-footed mouse), 2668 nucleotides long. RefSeq lists it as uncharacterized. The transcript is spliced from 2 exons. Lineage: Eukaryota; Metazoa; Chordata; Mammalia; Rodentia; Cricetidae. The record is from RefSeq and is a predicted model, not a curated record.